This 434-nucleotide ribosomal RNA is filed under the name uncultured archaeon. Its description in RNAcentral is "bacterial SSU rRNA". It matches the Rfam family "Archaeal small subunit ribosomal RNA", at positions 19 to 458 of the family's 1478-position model. The record is from RNAcentral.
GGACCUGACUGCUAUCGGAUUGAUACUAAGCCAUGCGAGUCAUUGUAGCAAUACAAGGCAUACGGCUCAGUAACGCGUAGUCAACCUAACCUAUGGACGGGAAUAACCUCGGGAAACUGAGAAUAAUGCCCGAUAGAACAUUAUGCCUGGAAUGGUUUAUGUUCCAAAUGAUUUAUCGCCGUAGGAUGGGACUGCGGCCUAUCAGUUUGUUGGUGAGGUAAUGGCCCACCAAGACUAUUACAGGUACGGGCUCUGAGAGGAGUAGCCCGGAGAUGGGUACUGAGACACGGACCCAGGCCUUAUGGGGCGCAGCAGGCGAGAAAACUUUGCAAUGUGCGAAAGCACGACAAGGUUAAUCCGAGUGGUUUCUGCUAAAGAAACCUUUUGUCAGUCCUAGAAACACUGAUGAAUAAGGGGUGGGCAAGUUCUGGUGU